Molecule: ribosomal RNA, 1340 nt
Filed under: Aedes koreicus
Lineage: Eukaryota; Metazoa; Arthropoda; Insecta; Diptera; Culicidae
Description: large subunit ribosomal RNA
Rfam family: Archaeal large subunit ribosomal RNA (bases 1083-1242)
Source: RNAcentral
UUAAAUUUUAUUUAUUAAUUUUUUAUAUUGUUUAAUUUUAUUUAAUAAAAAUAAUUUUUUUAAUUUUUGUUAUAGUAUUUUUUAAAGAAAAAAUAAUUUUAAUAAUAGUUUAUUAGUAUUGUAAAAGAAAAUUGAAAUAAUUUGAAAAAUUUUUAUUUUAAAAGAAAAUUUAAUUUAUUGUACCUUGUGUAUCAGGGUUUAUUAAUUAAUUAAUUAUUAUAUUAAUUUUUCUCGAAUUUUAAAGAUUUAAUUAUAUAUGAAAGUUACUGUAGCAUAAUUAUUUUAAAUAUAUAAUUAGAAAUGAAAUGUUAAUCGUUUUAAAAUAUAUCUAGUUUUUUAAGAAAUAAAUUUAAUUUAGAUUUAUAAAUUAAAAAUUUUAUUUUUUUUAAUAUUUUUAUUUUAUAAAAUUAAUAUUUUAAGGGAUUAGCUUUAAAAUAAAUUUUUAAAUUUAAAAUAAAAUAUUUAAAUAAAUGUAAGCUUAAAAAUAGUUAUCAUUAAUAAAUUUGUUAUAAUUUAUUUUAAAUUUUUUAUUAUUUAUUGUUAAAUUAAAUUAUUUAUUAAAAUAUAAAUUUUAAUUAUAUAAAUUUAUUAAUUAUGAUAAAAUUAGUAUAUUAAAUUUAUUUGAAUUAUUUUAAUUGGAAGGUUUAAAUAAGGAAUUCGGCAAAUUAUAAUAUAUUCACCUGUUUAUCAAAAACAUGUCUUUUUGAAUUUAAUUUAAAGUCUAACCUGCCCACUGAUUAUAUUGAAGGGCCGCAGUAUUUUGACUGUGCGAAGGUAGCAUAAUCAAUAGUCUUUUAAUUGGAGGCUUGUAUGAAUGGUUGAAUGAGAUAUAUACUGUCUUUUUUAAAUUUUUAUAGAAUUUUAUUUUUUAAUUAAAAAGUUAAAAUAUAAUUAAAGGACGAGAAGACCCUAUAGAUCUUUAUUUUUUUUAGUUAUAAGUUAAAAAGAAUAUUUAAAUUUAUAAUUUAAUAAAAAAUUUUACUGGGGUGGUAUUAAAAUUUAAAUAACUUUUAUUAUUUAUUUACAUUAAUAUAUGAAUAAUUGAUCCAAUUUUAUUGAUUAAAAAUUUAAGUUACCUUAGGGAUAACAGCGUAAUUUUUUUUUAGAGUUCAUAUCGACAAAAAAGAUUGCGACCUCGAUGUUGGAUUAAGAGUUAUUUUUAGGUGUAGAAGUUUAAAGUUUAGGUCUGUUCGACCUUUGAAUUCUUACAUGAUCUGAGUUCAAACCGGCGUAAGCCAGGUUGGUUUCUAUCCUUAAUAAAAUUAUUAUAUUAUAGUACGAAAGGACCUAAUAUAAAAAAUAUAGAUUUUAAAGUUAUGAAUAAUAUUAAUAUUUAAUAA